AAGCGAUCCUUCUGCCUCAGCGUCCUGAUAGCUGAGAGUAUAGGUAUGCACCACCAUGCUUGGCUAAUUAAAAAAAAAAAAAUUUAUAGAGACAGGGGGUCUCACUAUUUUUGCCCAGGCUAGUUCAAAACAUUUUCUUGAAACAAAACCUUAUGUAGCCCCUGCUCUCUCCAACCCUCCCGCAACAGCCAGUCUUCCCCUCCCAGGCGCUGCUCCUGGAGCUCAAUCAGCAACUCCGUCUCCAAGCUUUAUGUUUCCCAUUAGAUUUCUCCUAAUUUUCUUGUCCUUUACAACCUGACAGU
RNAcentral lists this long non-coding RNA (302 nucleotides) under Pan troglodytes (chimpanzee). RNAcentral's name for it is "long non-coding RNA NONPTRT007170". The record is from RNAcentral. Lineage: Eukaryota; Metazoa; Chordata; Mammalia; Primates; Hominidae.